GAUCCUGGCUCAGAAUCAACGCUGGCGGCGUGCCUAACACAUGCAAGUCGCACGAGAAAGGGUAGCAAUACCUGAGUAAAGUGGCGCACGGGUGAGUAACACGUGAAUUAUCUACCUCCGAGUGGGGAAUAACUGAGAGAAAUCUUAGCUAAUACCGCAUAACACUUACGAGUCAAAGCAGUAAUGCGCUUGGAGAGGAGUUCGCGGCAGAUUAGUUAGUUGGCGGGGUAAUGGCCCACCAAGACGAUGAUCUGUAUCCGGCCUGAGAGGGCGCACGGACACACUGGAACUGAAACACGGUCCAGACUCCUACGGGAGGCAGCAGUGGGGAAUUUUGCGCAAUGGGGGAAACCCUGACGCAGCAACGCCGCGUGGAGGAUGAAAUCCCUUGGGAUGUAAACUCCUUUCGAUAGGGAAGAUUAUGACGGUACCUAUAGAAGAAGCCCCGGCUAACUUCGUGCCAGCAGCCGCGGUAAUACGAGGGGGGCAAGCGUUGUUCGGAUUUAUUGGGCGUAAAGGGUGCGUAGGCGGUUUGGCAAGUCUUGUGUGAAAUCUUUGGGCUCAACCCAAAGCCUGCACAAGAAACUGCCGGGCUUGAGUAUGGGAGAGGUGAGUGGAAUUUCCGGUGUAGCGGUGAAAUGCGUAGAUAUCGGAAGGAACACCUGUGGCGAAAGCGGCUCACUGGACCAG
Molecule: ribosomal RNA, 690 nt
Filed under: uncultured Acidobacteriota bacterium
Lineage: Bacteria; Pseudomonadati; Acidobacteriota
Description: bacterial SSU rRNA
Rfam family: Bacterial small subunit ribosomal RNA
Source: RNAcentral